UGGGAGGAGUAGCUGAAGGAGGAGGAUCGAAAGUAGAGAAGUGAAGAGACUGGGUCAUUCGGUCGCUUCGUCGUUAUUCUUUUUUGCCGCGGUCCCCCCGCGCACUGAGAGAGAGGACAGACGAGAAGCGGAAGGCACACGCAGCAGAGCACGGAGGGACACGAGCGCGGCGCCCCGCAAGCCUUUCCGUGAGGCUGGCACCACCACCGCUUGGCGACGCGUCCCCGAAAUAGUGUUAGGUGCCACAGAGACGUAGACCACCU
This is a non-coding RNA of Caenorhabditis elegans, 263 nucleotides long. Lineage: Eukaryota; Metazoa; Nematoda; Chromadorea; Rhabditida; Rhabditidae. The record is from Ensembl.